UACAGAGGGGGCAAGCGUUAUUCGGAAUUAUUGGGCGUAAAGGGCGCGUAGGCGGCUUGGCAAGUGGAUGGUGAAAUCCCUCGGCUUAACCGAGGAACUGCAGUCCAAACUGCUUCGCUUGAGACCGGGAGAGGUGAGUGGAAUUCCCAGUGUAGCGGUGAAAUGCGUAGAUAUUGGGAGGAACACCAGUGGCGAAGGCGGCUCACUGGACCGGUACUGACGCUGAUGCGCGAAAGCGUGGGGAGCAAACGGG
This 253-nucleotide ribosomal RNA is filed under the name uncultured bacterium. Its description in RNAcentral is "partial 16S ribosomal RNA". It matches the Rfam family "Bacterial small subunit ribosomal RNA", at positions 524 to 776 of the family's 1533-position model. The record is from RNAcentral.